ACUCCUGCGGGAGGCAGCAGUGGGGAAUUUUGGACAAUGGGCGAAAGCCUGAUCCAGCAAUGCCGCGUGAGUGAAGAAGGCCUUCGGGUUGUAAAGCUCUUUUGUCAGGGAAGAAACGGUGAGAGCUAAUAUCUUUUGCUAAUGACGGUACCUGAAGAAUAAGCACCGGCUAACUACGUGCCAGCAGCCGCGGUAAUACGUAGGGUGCAAGCGUUAAUCGGAAUUACUGGGCGUAAAGCGUGCGCAGGCGGUUUUGUAAGUCUGAUGUGAAAUCCCCGGGCUCAACCUGGGAAUUGCAUUGGAGACUGCAAGGCUAGAAUCUGGCAGAGGGGGGUAGAAUUCCACGUGUAGCAGUGAAAUGCGUAGAUAUGUGGAGGAACACCGAUGGCGAAGGCAGCCCCCUGGGUCAAGAUUGACGCUCAUGCACGAAAGCGUGGGGAGCAAACAGGAUUAGAUACCCUGGUAGUCCCA
RNAcentral lists this ribosomal RNA (471 nucleotides) under uncultured organism. Its description in RNAcentral is "partial 16S ribosomal RNA". It matches the Rfam family "Bacterial small subunit ribosomal RNA", at positions 335 to 797 of the family's 1533-position model. The record is from RNAcentral.